AGAGUUUGAUUAUGGCUCAGGAUGAACGCUAGCGAUAGGCCUAACACAUGCAAGUCGAGGGGCAGCACAUGAAGUAGCAAUACGGAUGGUGGCGACCGGCGCACGGGUGAGUAACGCGUAUGCAACCUGCCUACAACAGGGGAAUAACCCGUUGAAAGACGGACUAAUACCCCAUAACACAGGGAUCCCGCAUGGGAAUAUUUGUUAAAGAUUUAUCGGUUGUAGAUGGGCAUGCGUUCCAUUAGCUGGUUGGUGAGGUAACGGCUCACCAAGGCAACGAUGGAUAGGGGAACUGAGAGGUUUAUCCCCCACACUGGUACUGAGACACGGACCAGACUCCUACGGGAGGCAGCAGUGAGGAAUAUUGGUCAAUGGACGCAAGUCUGAACCAGCCACGUCGCGUGAAGGAAGACGGCCCUACGGGUUGUAAACUUCUUUUGUAAGGGAAUAAAGUGCAGUACGUGUACUGUUUUGCAUGUACCUUACGAAUAAGGAUCGGCUAACUCCGUGCCAGCAGCCGCGGUAAUACGGAGGAUCCGAGCGUUAUCCGGAUUUAUUGGGUUUAAAGGGUGCGCAGGCGGGAGAUUAAGUCGGCGGUGAAAUUUUGCAGCUCAACUGUAAAAGUGCCUUCGAAACUGGUUUUCUUGAGUGUGGAUGAAGUAGGCGGAAUUUGUGGUGUAGCGGUGAAAUGCAUAGAUAUCACGAGGAACUCCGAUUGCGCAGGCAGCUUACUAAACCAUAACUGACGCUCAGGCACGAAGGCGUGGGGGUCAAACAGGAUUAGAUACCCUGGUAGUC
RNAcentral lists this ribosomal RNA (798 nucleotides) under uncultured Proteiniphilum sp. Its description in RNAcentral is "bacterial SSU rRNA". It matches the Rfam family "Bacterial small subunit ribosomal RNA", at positions 8 to 795 of the family's 1533-position model. The record is from RNAcentral. Lineage: Bacteria; Pseudomonadati; Bacteroidota; Bacteroidia; Bacteroidales; Dysgonomonadaceae.